GUGCCCUCUAAGCAGCAUAUACACUAAAAUUGGAAUAGAUUAUUAGCAUGGCCCCUAAGGAGAGAUGACAUGCAAAUUUGUGAAGUGUUCCAUAUUUUU
This 99-nucleotide small nuclear RNA is filed under the name Sorex araneus (European shrew). Lineage: Eukaryota; Metazoa; Chordata; Mammalia; Eulipotyphla; Soricidae. The record is from RNAcentral.